This 58-nucleotide transfer RNA is filed under the name Cricetulus griseus (Chinese hamster). The record is from Rfam by way of RNAcentral. Lineage: Eukaryota; Metazoa; Chordata; Mammalia; Rodentia; Cricetidae.
UAGUUCUGUCAGGAGAGUGCUUGCCUUGAAAGUAAGAGGGCCUGAGUUUGAUUCUCAG